RNAcentral lists this ribosomal RNA (510 nucleotides) under uncultured bacterium. Its description in RNAcentral is "bacterial SSU rRNA". It matches the Rfam family "Bacterial small subunit ribosomal RNA", at positions 8 to 518 of the family's 1533-position model. The record is from RNAcentral.
AGAGUUUGAUCCUGGCUCAGGAUGAACGCUGGCGGCGUGCUUAACACAUGCAAGUCGAACGAGGGUUGCUGGUUGAAGUUUCGGAUGGAAACCGGUAAUUCCUAGUGGCGGACGGGUGAGUAACGCGUGGGGAACCUGCCCCGCUCCGGGGGAUACCAGCUGGAAACGGCUGUUAAUACCGCAUAAGCGCACAGCAUUGCAUGAUGCCGUGUGAAAAACUCCGGUGGAACGGGAUGGCCCCGCGUCUGAUUAGCCAGUUGGCAGGGUAACGGCCUACCAAAGCGACGAUCAGUAGCCGGCCUGAGAGGGCGACCGGCCACAUUGGGACUGAGACACGGCCCAAACUCCUACGGGAGGCAGCAGUGGGGAAUAUUGCACAAUGGGGGAAACCCUGAUGCAGCCGACGCCGCGUGAGUGAGGAAGUAUUUCGGUAUGUAAAGCUCUAUCAGCAGGGAAGAAGAUGACGGUACCUGCACAAGAAGCCCCGGCUAACUACGUGCCAGCCGCGGC